Passer domesticus (house sparrow) is the source of this 671-nucleotide long non-coding RNA. RefSeq lists it as uncharacterized. Lineage: Eukaryota; Metazoa; Chordata; Aves; Passeriformes; Passeridae. The transcript has 3 exons. The record is from RefSeq and is a predicted model, not a curated record.
AAUACAUGGUAAGAGAAGUGAAUAGAUCUCACUGUGGCAAUCUUGAGCAUUGCUGUGACUGUGUAUUGCAGCCUGGAACUGCAGAUCCUGCCCUCCCUGGCACCAUCACUGGGGAGGAGCAGCUUGCGCACCCAGGAGCAGAUGAGCGCUGUGAUCACAGCCAGCCUGGAAUGAGCAGGUCACAGUGUCACCCCCCAAAGAACCCAGGGAAGUUGUCUUGUGGGACCAGAGCCCCUCCAAGGGGCUUGUGUGACUGUGUGUUUUGAGUCUGCAGCAGAAUCACACUUUGAGUAAGCACAGCCCAAAUCUUCUGCUGUUAAUGAAACACCAUUUCUCCUCCCCUCUGCUGCUCCCCGCAGCACUGCUGUUUAACCCCAGGCAGAGAUGUUUAACUCCAGGAGGAGGUUUGGAGCACGGCAUACAAAAUGGUGUCAAAGAAAACCGGCAGCACUUCAGCUUCUCAGUCCUGAGUCCUGCUGGAGUAUGACUCAGACUUGCUCAGGAAUAAGGCUGACCCAGGAAUGUGGGAACAGGGGCUCUGUUCCUGGUUCUGCUAUGGAUGUGCUGAAUAUAUCCUCAGUUUUCAAGCUCUCAGGAGGCCACAGAUGAAGAAGUUUUCUUCUACAGAGAGUCAGCCUGGAGAUACUCAAUAUUCUUCCUGCUCAACCCAG